RNAcentral lists this long non-coding RNA (243 nucleotides) under Lathyrus oleraceus (garden pea). RNAcentral describes it as "Pisum sativum (pea) long non-coding RNA (PSAT_LNC039736)". The record is from RNAcentral. Lineage: Eukaryota; Viridiplantae; Streptophyta; Magnoliopsida; Fabales; Fabaceae.
UGUUAACCAAGUUGAAUUUUUCAAAACAUUUAUUUUACUUGUGAAGGUUAAUGGAUGUUAUGCGAUUGAUUUUGACUUGGAAAUGUUUUAGUGUGAUUUUGAAAAAUAUACUUGAUGUUGAUCAAGCACCUUCAAUUUUUAGUAUUUUUUGAAAGGUUAAUUUUAAGAGUCAUUUUAUCUUUUUGGAUUAACAAUUAUGCAUCAACUAAAAAUAUAAUAAAAUAAACUAAAAAAUAAAGCAAA